GGAGAGGUGCCCGAGUGGCUGAAGGGGCACGCCUGGAAAGCGUGUGUGCCGUAACCCGGUACCGUGGGUUCGAAUCCCACCCUCUCCG
RNAcentral lists this transfer RNA (88 nucleotides) under Rhodothermales bacterium. RNAcentral's name for it is "tRNA-Ser". It matches the Rfam family "tRNA". Rfam says of the family: Transfer RNA (tRNA) molecules are approximately 80 nucleotides in length. Their secondary structure includes four short double-helical elements and three loops (D, anti-codon, and T loops). Further hydrogen bonds mediate the characteristic L-shaped molecular structure. tRNAs have two regions of fundamental functional importance: the anti-codon, which is responsible for specific mRNA codon recognition, and the 3' end, to which the tRNAs corresponding amino acid is attached (by aminoacyl-tRNA synthetases). tRNAs cope with the degeneracy of the genetic code in two manners: having more than one tRNA (with a specific anti-codon) for a particular amino acid; and 'wobble' base-pairing, i.e. permitting non-standard base-pairing at the 3rd anti-codon position. The record is from RNAcentral. Lineage: Bacteria; Pseudomonadati; Rhodothermota; Rhodothermia; Rhodothermales.